RNAcentral lists this transfer RNA (66 nucleotides) under Ischnura pumilio. RNAcentral describes it as "tRNA-Asn". The record is from RNAcentral. Lineage: Eukaryota; Metazoa; Arthropoda; Insecta; Odonata; Coenagrionidae.
UUAACUGAAGCCAAAAUAGAGGCAUAUCACUGUUAAUGAUAAGAAUGAAUAGAUAUUCCGGUUAAA